RNAcentral lists this long non-coding RNA (1171 nucleotides) under Castor canadensis (American beaver). RNAcentral describes it as "lncRNA (ENSCCNG00000027807.1)". Lineage: Eukaryota; Metazoa; Chordata; Mammalia; Rodentia; Castoridae. The record is from RNAcentral.
GGACCGGAGCCUGCAGGGUCAAGAUCUUCGCUCUGGACCUGGGAGGCUCCAUUGCUAACUGCGGGAGGAAGACGCGCUGCAGAGGAGAAACGCUGGCGCGGAAAGAUCCUCGGUGAUCCCGAGCACAGGUUCUCCCAAAGGUCAGCGGGCUGCGGAGGACCCGCGAGCCGGAGGCUUGGACCGCAGAAGAGGCGCAAAGCAGCCCAGCCCAAACCAAGCGGUUCAAGAGCCAGAAGGAAACAACUAAAUCAGCUUUCUUGGAGGUUCCAGCGACUCACCACCCGUCCCACUUGUCACUGUAGACCUCUGCCUUUGACCAGGUGUGGUGCCUGCAGAGGCCCCUUGUACCUUGCCACUAGUGACUCGUUUUGUCUGCACCAAUGUGGUAAGUCAGCACUGGCUCUGAACUUUUCUUUCAUUGUGUUCACUUCUCAGCUGUUUAUUCUCAGUUUGGGAGCUGGGUUUUGUCACCAGUUUCCAUUUUGUGUCAUCUUUGGUGCAAUCAGGCUAUUCCCUGUCAUCCCUUUUUACUCUGUUUGUGUGGUCCAUUUAGAAGUGUUUGUCACAAGGAGCAUCACAGGGCAGAACACAAGACACGAAGAGGCCCUCUAAGUUUGUUCGAGCUGACCUCAAAGACCAGUAAGUUUGUGGAUCUCCUUGAACUGGUGUCCAUUUGGAAAACUCUGCGUGGGUUAAAACCAGAUAGGAUUUUCCCUCUUCCUUGAGUUUUCAUGCUGGGAUCUUGACUUUGAUCCAGACAGAGUGUUUCUGUGGUUUCAGCCUGCUGGGGAACAAGAUUGUUGGGUCUGAGUUCAGAAGUGGCCAACUGUAAGCUGGGGGACAUGAUACACAAGGUGCACAGUUAUUACAUUCCUACUGAUGGUUGCCAGCUCUUGUAGGGUGUUCUAAGUCUAGAUCCCCUAUUCACCUAGCAAACAUUGCUUCUUAUGUGCACAGUACUAACUCAUGUACCUUACUAAAUAGCAUAACUUCAAGGAUGGUCUGGCCCUUUAAUGGCCACUCUGGGGAACAUUUGAACAAAUUGUUGCUUAGAAAGGCACCUUGAAAAACAGAAAUAAGUAGGAUUUCUUAGGACCAACUAGGUGGCAGUUUUUGAUUAGUACUUAGGGGCUUCCAAAUAAAACUGUGGAUCAAAAAUUUCUUGCCUACA